Long non-coding RNA from Drosophila albomicans, 1996 nucleotides. RefSeq lists it as uncharacterized. The record is from RefSeq and is a predicted model, not a curated record. The transcript has 4 exons. Lineage: Eukaryota; Metazoa; Arthropoda; Insecta; Diptera; Drosophilidae.
CUCGAGGCUCUAUCGUUGCUGCCCUGCAAGAGCGGAAAUGAAAAUAUGGAGACGAAGGUCACCAGCACUUCACGAACUCAGAUAAGCGAAAAUGGCAGGCAAAGGAAAAUGCAAAAAAAAAGUAUACGGCACGCGUUUGAGGCUGAGGCGACUACAGCGGCGGCUGUUGAGGCCACGCCAAAUGCAAAACACUGCAGCACUCAAAAAAAGAAGGGAAUACUUAGUUGCACUUUUUAAAACGUACCAUCCUCACUGCCUAUGUGAAUAACACUUGAUUUAUAUACUCUUAAUGCGAUUAUGUUGUUGAAAUAAAAUGUUGAACUUUUGCGAAAAACUGCUUUGACGUCAAGAAAAAUGGAUACAAUCCAGUGUGACCGUAAGGUAGAUUGCAAAUGUAACCUAGUAUUUUGGUAUAUACGCCGUCUCUAAAAUGGUCAUAUCGCGUGAAGCACCACAGUGUUACAGUGUUUUGCAUUAGCGAUAUUGGUAUAUUUUCUAGUAAAUUUCGGAAUAUUUCGGAAUACAGUUUGCGGUCACUUUGAACGUUACAUUUUUUAAGUGUCUUGCACUUGUUGCAGAAGAAUUGCGAUUUUAAAGUGUAGAUCAAACAUGUGAAAUAGAGCACUUGUGAAUAUCAUUACCAUUGUGAGUUUAAGAGCAAAUCUUAACAGCUUGUGUAGAAACAAAAUGUACUGCUGGAUUACGUGACCGGUAGCAUAGAGUCAAAACAGCUGAUCGUUUGUCAUAAUGCAGUUCUGCUGCACAUAUACAUACAUAUAUAUUUGAUAAAACGAAAACGCGGCUCGUUCUAUUGUUUCGUUAUAAUAAUAAAACUAAUAAUUCAGCUGCAAGGUGCAGUGAUCUAGUUAAUUGGAAACUUGUUUUUCAUAAUGGCAACAGGUGGCUGGAAGUGUAACUGUUACUUCAAAGCGUUCAAACACGUGGACUUGGAAAUGCGAAUUUCUAAUGGGAAAUGUCGCGCUGUAACUGGAAUCUACAGAAAACGUAUCAAAUUCCAUGGGUAUCGGUACAGUUAUAAAUAAUUCGAAAGCAACAACAUAUGCACAAGUCAAAUGCAAAGAGAAAAGAGUAUGAGAGAGAAGGAGACGCAGAUAAAGAAGAAGUAAACACAAGUGUAAAUUUACGCUUUGUCAGCGGAGUUUGGAGUUACUUGAAAAUGCAGACGCUGGAGGUAAACAAAUUCGCUGCGGGAUUUUGGAAAGACGAAACGAAUGAAAUGAAUUUAAGAAAAACAAAUCAGCAAAAAAGAGAAAAACAAAAGCCGGCUACAAAAUUUUGUGGCAUACGUGACUAUAGAGCUAGCUGGCAUGGCGUCAACCUCCCGCCAUCGUUAACAACAUGCCGGUUUUUCGCUUUGCACUGUUUGACUGCUCUGUUAGGCUGCAUGUGUGGAAUUGAAAUUGGGGUGAAAGUGCGUGUAAAAACUAAUGGCAAGUGUUGGUCACAUUGUGCACUUGAACUGGUGGUAAAAACCAAGCAGCGAUUUGUAUAUUACUACAAAUAAUAUAUUAUGAAAUUCCAAAAUUGCUAAAUUAGAGGUGAUAGAUAAACGCCAUUGACAUUGAUAACAAUGCGAAUGCGAGCCUCUUCUAGUUGGCGCAUAAUGGAAAAGAGUGGAAUCGUAUAAUCAGCUGAUAGAUAGCCACACGACUCUCACGUAAACACGACACGUUGAACCGCCCGACAUGGCCAAAAAUAUUCAGGCACACACGCACACACACAUUCAUAAUUAUUUAGCAGUAGAAUGUUGUGCGCUUUGCAAUAAUUAAAUGUCAACCGACACAACCGAUUACAUAAGCAAGCAUAAAAAAUAAGCAAGUGUCUGCCAAGUCAAUUGCAUAUUCAACAUUCCUAUUAUCACCUUGCAAUGUGACCAAGGAACGUUGCCAUAGUGGUGGACCACUUUCUAACCAUCUUGCUACUUUUCGCACUAAUUGUAUAAUAUUACAAUACUGAUUUAUAGACUUACCCCAUC